This 505-nucleotide ribosomal RNA is filed under the name uncultured bacterium. RNAcentral describes it as "partial 16S ribosomal RNA". It matches the Rfam family "Bacterial small subunit ribosomal RNA", at positions 28 to 507 of the family's 1533-position model. The record is from RNAcentral.
GACGAACGCUGGCGGCGUGCCUAAUACAUGCAAGUAGAACGCACAGUUUAUACCGUAGCUUGCUACACCAUAAACUGUGAGUUGCGAACGGGUGAGUAACGCGUAGGUAACCUGCCUGGUAGCGGGGGAUAACUAUUGGAAACGAUAGCUAAUACCGCAUAAUAUUAAUUAUUGCAUGAUAAUUGAUUGAAAGAUGCAAUUGCAUCACUACCAGAUGGACCUGCGUUGUAUUAGCUAGUAGGUGAGGUAACGGCUCACCUAGGCGACGAUACAUAGCCGACCUGAGAGGGUGAUCGGCCACACUGGGACUGAGACACGGCCCAGACUCCUACGGGAGGCAGCAGUAGGGAAUCUUCGGCAAUGGACGAAAGUCUGACCGAGCAACGCCGCGUGAGUGAAGAAGGGUUUCGGAUCGUAAAGCUCUGUUGUAAGAGAAGAACGGGUGUGAGAGUGGAAAGUUCACACUGUGACGGUAUCUUACCAGAAAGAGACGGCUAACUACGUG